Thalassophryne amazonica is the source of this 664-nucleotide long non-coding RNA. RefSeq lists it as uncharacterized. The transcript has 2 exons. Lineage: Eukaryota; Metazoa; Chordata; Actinopteri; Batrachoidiformes; Batrachoididae. The record is from RefSeq and is a predicted model, not a curated record.
CUGAGAACAACUUUUUGUGCAGGAAUUCAUCAAGCAUGUCGGCCGCGGGCGCGUAAUAACACAAUACCUAGAAAGUGGACAGUUGUUUGGCCAUAACGAGAACGUCCACUUUUAGCUUACCAUAAACUAAGCUAGUGGCGCUCGUGAGAGUGUGCUUCGCCCCCACACGGUGGGCAACAUCCACGUUUUGGGCUAUCUGGACCUUGAACUGUGGUACAACCUGCUGACAAACGAUGAUUUUCUCACGCACGUACUCCUGAUCCGACCUCGUUCCUGAGGAGACCUCUGAUGGAUCAACACGGAGAAUCGACGGCGGUAAUUCAGCCAUGGGAAAAGACAUUGGAUCCUUCCAGACAUCAAGGUAAGCACAAACCUUUUUAAUAAAAUUGUGCAUAUUGGACAUUCUAAAAAAACUGAUGUCUGAAAGUGAGGCAAAUGUGUCAGCAUUAAAAUAGAAUGAGUGGGGUGACAAAUUAAGAGAAGUUUAAGGAUAUAAUAAGGAAAACCAGGGAGUAGUGAGUUCUGUUUACAAGUUCCACGGUGGUCUGGGACCACAUCGCAAAGGCGGUAUACUCCUAAAAACAGGAAUAGUCAGUUUUGUUUAGACGUUGCACAGUGGUCUGGGACCGUAAGGUUUAAAAGUAAAUCUUAUAUUCCUAUUUAA